This 496-nucleotide ribosomal RNA is filed under the name uncultured bacterium. Its description in RNAcentral is "partial 16S ribosomal RNA". It matches the Rfam family "Bacterial small subunit ribosomal RNA", at positions 29 to 507 of the family's 1533-position model. The record is from RNAcentral.
AUGAACGCUGGCGGCGUGCCUAAUACAUGCAAGUCGCGCGAACGGACGAGAAGCUUGCUUCUCUGAUGUUAGCGGCGGACGGGUGAGUAACACGUGGAUAACCUACCUAUAAGACUGGGAUAACUUCGGGAAACCGGAGCUAAUACCGGAUAAUAUUUUGAACCGCAUGGUUCAAAAGUAAAAGACGGUCUUGCUGUCACUUAUAGAUGGAUCCGCGCUGCAUUAGCUAGUUGGUAAGGUAACGGCUUACCAAGGCAACGAUGCAUAGCCGACCUGAGAGGGUGAUCGGCCACACUGGAACUGAGACACGGUCCAGACUCCUACGGGAGGCAGCAGUAGGGAAUCUUCCGCAAUGGGCGAAAGCCUGACGGAGCAACGCCGCGUGAGUGAUGAAGGUCUUCGGAUCGUAAAACUCUGUUAUUAGGGAAGAACAUUUGUGUAAGUAACUGUGCACAUCUUGACGGUACCUAAUCAGAAAGCCACGGCUAACUACGUG